AUUGAACGCUGGCGGCAGGCCUAACACAUGCAAGUCGAGCGCGCGGCGGACGGGUGAGUAAUGUAUGGGGACCGCCCGAUAUAGAGGGAUCAAUACGGGAAACGGUAGCUAAAACCGCAUAACAUCGGAUAACCCAUAUGGGAUUAGCUGGUAGGUGAGGUAAUGACGCACCUAGGCGACGAUCCCUAGCAGUUCUGAGAGGAGGAUCAGCCACACUGGGACUGAGACACGGCCCAGACUCCUACGGAGGCAGCAGUGGGGAAUCUUGCACAAUGGGCGCAAGCCUGAUGCAGCCAUGCCGCGUGUAUGAAGAAGGCCCUCGGGUUGUAAAGUACUUUCAGUCGGGAGGCGUUACCGACCGAAGAAGCAACGGCUAACUCCGUGCCAGCAGCCGCGGUAAUUC
Molecule: ribosomal RNA, 403 nt
Filed under: uncultured bacterium
Lineage: Bacteria
Description: partial 16S ribosomal RNA
Rfam family: Bacterial small subunit ribosomal RNA
Source: RNAcentral